Long non-coding RNA from Acyrthosiphon pisum (pea aphid), 762 nucleotides. RefSeq lists it as uncharacterized. The record is from RefSeq and is a predicted model, not a curated record. NCBI's taxonomy places the organism in Eukaryota, Metazoa, Arthropoda, Insecta, Hemiptera, Aphididae. The transcript is spliced from 4 exons.
AUUUUUGAUAACAGCCAAUGGAUUAUUGAUUGAAUUAGUGAACUAUACGGUCGUGCAGAAGCUGUGUGUUCAAAUCACCGAAUUGACAUAUUAUUAUUGUACGCUCUCGGCCAAUACACUCAGACGGUGACGGAUGAAAGCGAAAGCGAAAUCGGUAAACGGCUAAAUAUUGGGACUACCUGUGUCCUCUCAGGCGUGCAGAAAUAACCUGGACGGUCUGAUCAGCCCAACUUCGACUGACCGGUGGUUAUCGUUUUUUUCAAAAAGAACGAUUUCAAGCAGCACAUCCUGAAUUCGAGACUAGUGUUGUAUGUACGUGGCCCUCCAUGGACACGUGUUAUUGAAUCAUUUCACCAAAUCAACUGCUAAUAUCACUUAACAACCAUAACAUUUUCCAUUCAUGUCAAAUCAAUCGCCAUCAUAGAGACUAGUGUUGUAUGUACGUGGUCCUCCAUAGACACGUGUUAUUGAAUCAUUUCACCAAAUCCACUGCUAAUUACAACCAUAAAAUUUUCCAGUCAUGUCAAAUCAAUCGCCAUCUAAAUCAGACUUGACUAAUUGUUCAGUGACGGGCAGCAACAAUGGCGUUGGUUUUAAGCCAAUUAGAAAUUUCGAAUGGACUACAAGACUUGAAAAAUGUUUGCUACUAAACAUGGCCCGUCUAAAGCCUAGUGGUAAGUCUGAAGCACAGCUGUUCGCCCCUUUUCUUUAGUUAUAUGCAUCAAGAUUGUAUGAAAUUAGGUCAUGUUCCUCAAAUCAAUU